UCCAUCGGGAGGAGGAAUCUGAAGGAAGCCGCAGGCAAACCCCCGGGUUGGCUGACGGC
Molecule: non-coding RNA, 59 nt
Organism: Syntrophobacter fumaroxidans MPOB
Lineage: Bacteria; Pseudomonadati; Thermodesulfobacteriota; Syntrophobacteria; Syntrophobacterales; Syntrophobacteraceae
Source: Rfam